GGGGAUUUAGCUCAGCGGCAUAAGCACCUGCCUUACAAGUAGGUGGUCAUGAGUUUGAUUCCCCC
Molecule: transfer RNA, 65 nt
Organism: Cavia porcellus (domestic guinea pig)
Lineage: Eukaryota; Metazoa; Chordata; Mammalia; Rodentia; Caviidae
Rfam family: tRNA
About the family: Transfer RNA (tRNA) molecules are approximately 80 nucleotides in length. Their secondary structure includes four short double-helical elements and three loops (D, anti-codon, and T loops). Further hydrogen bonds mediate the characteristic L-shaped molecular structure. tRNAs have two regions of fundamental functional importance: the anti-codon, which is responsible for specific mRNA codon recognition, and the 3' end, to which the tRNAs corresponding amino acid is attached (by aminoacyl-tRNA synthetases). tRNAs cope with the degeneracy of the genetic code in two manners: having more than one tRNA (with a specific anti-codon) for a particular amino acid; and 'wobble' base-pairing, i.e. permitting non-standard base-pairing at the 3rd anti-codon position.
Source: Rfam